Molecule: small nucleolar RNA, 208 nt
Organism: Dendrobium catenatum
Lineage: Eukaryota; Viridiplantae; Streptophyta; Magnoliopsida; Asparagales; Orchidaceae
Product: small nucleolar RNA U3
Exons: 1
Source: RefSeq, a predicted model, not a curated record
ACGAUCUUACUUCAACAGGAUCUAUUCUAUAGGCUCGUACAGCUGCAUCUUUAAUGAUUAAAGAGGCAAGCAACUAACUCUGGUUGAUGAGAAGUAGCUUCUGGGCUAGAGCAUGAUUAACGGUUCUGAUCCAUUUGGAUCGAGUUGUGGAGGAUCGUUCUCAGUCGGUAAAACCGGCUGAGAUGGCUUUGAAGCUUUCUAACAGAUU